RNAcentral lists this ribosomal RNA (253 nucleotides) under uncultured bacterium. RNAcentral describes it as "partial 16S ribosomal RNA". It matches the Rfam family "Bacterial small subunit ribosomal RNA", at positions 524 to 776 of the family's 1533-position model. The record is from RNAcentral.
UACGUAGGGGGCUAGCGUUGUCCGGAUUUAUUGGGCGUAAAGAGCGUGUAGGCGGCCAGGUAGGUCUGCUGUGAAACUCGAGGCUCAACCUCGAGACGUCGGCGGAAACCAUCUGGCUAGAGUCCGGAAGAGGAGAGUGGAAUUCCGUGGUGUAGCGGUGAAAUGCGCAGAUAUCAGGAAGAACACCCGUGGCGAAGGCGGCUCUCUGGGACGGUACUGACGCUGAGACGCGAAAGCGUGGGGAGCGAACAGG